RNAcentral lists this ribosomal RNA (497 nucleotides) under uncultured bacterium. RNAcentral describes it as "partial 16S ribosomal RNA". It matches the Rfam family "Bacterial small subunit ribosomal RNA", at positions 28 to 507 of the family's 1533-position model. The record is from RNAcentral.
GAUGAACGCUGGCGGCGUGCCUAAUACAUGCCAGUCGAGCGAACAGAUGAGGAGCUUGCUCCUCUGACGUUAGCGGCGGACGGGUGAGUAACACGUGGAUAACCUACCUAUAAGACUUGGAUAACUUCGGGAAACCGGAGCUAAUACCGGAUAAUAUAUUGAACCGCAUGGUUCAAUAGUGAAAGACGGUUUUGCUGUCACUUAUAGAUGGAUCCGCGCCGCAUUAGCUAGUUGGUAAGGUAACGGCUUACCAAGGCAACGAUGCGUAGCCGACCUGAGAGGGUGAUCGGCCACACUGGAACUGAGACACGGUCCAGACUCCUACGGGAGGCAGCAGUAGGGAAUCUUCCGCAAUGGGCGAAAGCCUGACGGAGCAACGCCGCGUGAGUGAUGAAGGUCUUCGGAUCGUAAAACUCUGUUAUUAGGGAAGAACAAAUGUGUAAGUAACUAUGCACGUCUUGACGGUACCUAAUCAGAAAGCCACGGCUAACUACGUG